This 50-nucleotide small nucleolar RNA is filed under the name Pyrobaculum arsenaticum DSM 13514. Its description in RNAcentral is "PARsR38". The record is from RNAcentral. Lineage: Archaea; Thermoproteati; Thermoproteota; Thermoprotei; Thermoproteales; Thermoproteaceae.
GUGAUGUGUGGUGACCUCGCCCGAGCCGUGAGGAUUUUGCCGAGUGCUGA